AUAAAGUAUUUUUAAACUUUUAUUAAAA
RNAcentral lists this transfer RNA (28 nucleotides) under Apis mellifera (honey bee). RNAcentral's name for it is "partial tRNA-Leu". Lineage: Eukaryota; Metazoa; Arthropoda; Insecta; Hymenoptera; Apidae. The record is from RNAcentral.